GCAGGAGGUGAGUUUCAUUGUUAUGUUCUGUCAAGCUUUCUGCAAUUAUGCAUUUGCUACUAUAAAACCCUGAAAUGUUCAAAUACCUUUGAAAUACAAAACUAGAAAUAUCUAGGAAUGUUUUGAUUCCAAGUUUGUUGACGAGUGCAACAGACAGAGCAUCAACAUAUUUUACUCUGUCCCAAAGCAUACAAAGUAGUAUUUCGUACUACCUCUGUCCCAUAUUAAUUGUCAUUGAAAUGGUAUCAAGAUGUAUUUCAGUGUUAGUUACAUCCGUUUCAAUGACAACUAGUAUGGGACGGAGGGAGUACAUCGUAUGCUUGAGGAAAAAACAUAUUUGUACAAAUCUCUGUCCCAAAGUCAGAGAUUUUCUAAUGCUAGGAUCAUAACUGGCUACAAUGCUGAAGUGGACUGACAAAUUGAAAUGUGGUAUGUAGGUUACAUCAAGGAAAGAUCAGAGACAAUACUGGAUACACAGUGACGAGACAUACCAAUAUGUUCCUGUUAAAAACUUUGCAGAGGCAUUUCAAUCUUUCCAUGUUGGUCAGGCUAUAAGAAGUGAGUUGGCUGUCCCAUUUAACAAGAGCAGGAGCCAUCCUGCUGCCCUGAAAACAUCAAAAUAUGGUGCCAGCAUGAAAGAACUGCUUAAAGCUAACAUCAACAGAGAGAUGUUGCUCAUGAGAAGAAACUCCUUUGUGUAUAUAUUCAAGGCAACUCAGGUGAUUCCAAAAAACUAAAUUUUAUUUUCAGUAUGAUUAUAAUCUGCAGAAGUUCGAAGUUAAAAGUAUCUUAUCAUGCUAUAUCUCUUUAUUGUUCAGUUGACGCUUAUGGCAAUCAUUACAAUGACGGUCUUUCUUCGGACAAAUAUGCAUCAUGACUCGAUAACAAACGGAGGGAUAUACAUGGGUGCACUGUUCUUUGGGAUCGUGAUGAUCAUGUUCAAUGGGUUGGCAGAAGUGGGCCUAACUGUUGCAAAGCUCCCUGUGUUCUUCAAACAAAGGGAUCUCCUUUUCUUUCCAGCAUGGACGUACUCCUUGCCCUCAUGGAUCAUUAAAACACCCCUCUCCUUGCUGAAUGCAUCAAUAUGGGUCUUCAUAACAUACUACGUCAUCGGAUUUGAUCCCAAUGUAGAGAGGUAAGGAAACUAAUAUUGCUACCAUAAUUUUUUUUAUGAAUGUUUUGCAGAAGCUAACAAAAGUAAUGAAUUACUGCAGACUUUUUAUGCAGUUCCUGCUCCUGUUAGUAAUGAGUGAGACAGCAUCUGGCCUCUUCCGCUUCAUUGCUGGUCUUGCAAGGAAUCAAAUUGUUGCAAACACCAUUGGUUCAUUCUUCUUACUAAUCUGUAUGCUUACAGGCGGAUUCGUCCUGUCAAGAGGUAUGCAAUAAUACCAGCCUAAAACACCAUGUUUGAGAUAGCAAGCAAAGAAUGCUUCGAUCAAAUUGCCUAAGUGCAGUUGCUAUUGGCACAUUAAAUGUGAUGCUUUGUAUGAGAAUUGGAAAUUAAACUGUUGCUUUGUUUUAACAGAGAAUGUGAAGAAAUGGUGGAUAUGGGGGUACUGGAUAUCACCGCUGAUGUAUGCACAAAAUGCCAUAUCAGUAAAUGAAUUCCUAGGUGACAGCUGGAACAAGGUAAGGACUUCAUAAAUUAUUCAGAAAUGAAUAAAUAAUCAUCUAACUGAAAAUGGUAGAUUAAAUCAUAUUAUUACUGCUAUAUUACAGACAAUCCCCGGUUUCAAAGAAUCACUUGGAAGACUAGUUCUGGAAUCUCGUGGAAUGUUUACUGAGGCAAAAUGGUAUUGGAUUGGUGUUGGUGCAUUGCUCGGAUAUGUGCUGCUAUUCAAUGCCCUCUACACCAUCUGCCUAACAUUUCUCAAACGUGAGUUACAAUAACUUGUAUUUAGGUCCCAAUAGAAAGGGUCCUUACAAUUGGAGGUCUAUUUUUAAUCUUAUACAUUUUGCUCUGCAGCAUUUGACAGCAGUCAGCAAACAAUAUCUGAGGAAACGAUGAAGAUAAAACAGGCUAAUUUAACUGGUGAAAUCCUGGAAGAAACAUCAGGAGAGCAUAAAAAUACAACAACACUCGGUAAAGCACUUGUUUUUACAUUCAUCAAUCAAAAUAUGAUAUGCAAUAUAAUGGAUUUAAAAUUAAUCCCAUGAUUAUGUCCAUCAGAUACUGCAGAUGAGAGCAACGGUGAAUCAACUUCAAACAACGCAACAGUGAAUUCUUGUCCCAGCAAGAAAGGAAUGAUCCUCCCUUUUACACCUCUCUCCCUCACAUUCGAAGAUAUAAGAUACAGUGUAGACAUGCCAGAGGUAUUCUUUUUUAAUGGAAAUACUAUUAAAAUUACAAUAUUUCCUACAUAUGCAUGCUCACUGUGCAAAUUGACCUAUGUAUAUACCAUCAUACCUAAUGGCUUAUCCGAUAAAAUGCAGGAAGUCAAAGCACAAGGUGUGAAAGAGGACCGAUUGGAACUAUUGAAGGGUAUCAGUGGUUCAUUUAGGCCAGGUGUGCUUACAGCUCUCAUGGGUGUCAGUGGUGCCGGUAAGACCACACUGAUGGAUGUGCUGGCUGGGAGGAAGACCAGUGGAUACGUAGAAGGCAACAUUACAAUAUCUGGCUACCCAAAGAAGCAAGAAACUUUUGCUCGUGUGUCAGGAUACUGUGAGCAGAAUGAUAUCCAUUCACCAAAUGUGACCGUCUACGAGUCCCUUGCAUUCUCUGCAUGGCUACGAUUACCAGCUGAUGUUGAUUCCUCAACAAGAAAGGUUUGCAAAGAACAAAGACUCUACUAUAAUUUGAAUAGUAAUACAUCACAUAAUAAGCAUAUAUCAUAAAAGAACGCGAUGAGAUUAAUUAAUCAGUCUUUUCUCCUUUUUAUACAGUUUAUUAUUUAAUUGUGUUCUGUACUAACUAAUUCAUCGCAUCACCUGGUACACAGAUGUUCAUCGAUGAGGUCAUGGAGCUUGUGGAGCUUUCCCCCUUAAAAGAUUCAUUGGUUGGACUACCUGGUGUGACUGGAUUAUCAACUGAGCAAAGGAAAAGAUUAACAAUUGCAGUGGAGCUGGUAGCUAACCCUUCUAUCAUUUUCAUGGAUGAACCGACAUCUGGACUUGAUGCAAGAGCUGCAGCCAUUGUCAUGAGGACAAUAAGGAAUACAGUGGAUACAGGAAGGACAGUAGUUUGCACAAUUCACCAACCAAGCAUCGACAUAUUUGAAUCUUUUGAUGAGGUACUAAAACCUUUUUUAUAGAAGAUAAGGCAGAACAACACAUUGGCAGUUAACUAUGUCUGCAGACACUUUUAACAACUAUAUCAUAUAUGUUCAUACGUGUCUAUGCAGCUCUUCCUGAUGAAACGAGGAGGUGAAGAGAUUUAUGUAGGUCCACUGGGACGCCAUUCGUGUGAAUUGAUUAAAUAUUUUGAGGUGAGUUGAGAGAGAGAAAACGUAUUGUAUGUUUCCAUAUGCAGUUUUAUACUGAACAAACAUGUCAUUUAACUGCUUCGCUUUGAUUCUACCAAGGCUAUUGAAGGUGUGAGCAAGAUUAAAGACAGCUAUAAUCCUUCAACAUGGAUGCUGGAAGUGACUAGUGCAGUACAAGAACAGAUAACUGGGAUCAACUUCAGCCAAGUAUACAAGAAUUCUGAACUAUAUGGGUAGGUUUCUGGUGGCAUUAUUGUCCGUAGUUUAAAAUCUAAUCAAUUACUCAAAAAAUGCGGACAUUUCUAUUUUCGAUUUAAGACCUUAUCUUAAUAUUUUUUCAAUUUUGGUUGUGUUUCAGGAUGAACAAAAAUUUAAUAAAGGAGCUAAGCACACCCCCUGAAGGUUCAAAUGACCUAUCCUUUCCAACGCAGUACUCGCAGACCUUCCUCACACAAUGUUUCGCUUGCCUGUGGAAGCAAAGUCAGUCAUAUUGGAGAAAUCCCCCAUAUACUGCUGUCAAGUACUUCUACACCGUAGUAAUGGCACUGUUGUUUGGAACAAUGUUCUGGGGCAUUGGCAGGAAAAGGUACUAAUAUAUACAAAAGCGAAGCAGUUUCACUCUUGCAGUUUGACUCCAGUCCCCACAUAUCGAAAUUAACCGGGGAUAUUUCACUCUUGCAGGCAGAGUCAACAGGACUUGUUCAAUGCCAUGGGUUCCAUGUACGCCUCAGUUUUGUACAUGGGGGUACAGAAUUCCGCGACAGUUCAGCCAGUUGUGGCUGUUGAGCGCACUGUCUUUUAUAGGGAAAGAGCGGCUCACAUGUACUCGCCUUUGCCAUAUGCAUUGGGGCAGGUAGAGUUUACUUCGCAUAAACUUUAUUAUUUGGUCACUUUAUGUAUAUGCUAAAAAAAACAAGAAUACAAAUCAGAUGCAAGAAUGCACAUAGGAGGCCUUGCUAAAAUGUUUAAGAUCAGAUUUUAUUCACAGAAAAGAUAUGAUGGUUGCACCAAUGCCCUUAUAAAGUGGAAUGAAAUAAAAGAACAGAAGUCGCUUAACAUCUAUUUCCAUUUGCAGGUUGCAAUAGAACUUCCAUACAUCUUUGUUCAGUCUUUAAUAUAUGGCGUCAUAGUGUAUGCCAUGAUUGGGUUCGAGUGGACAGCUGUGAAGUUGUUCUGGUACCUGUUCUUCAUGUUCUUCACCCUAUCAUACUACACAUUCUACGGGAUGAUGACGGUGGGCCUGACUCCAAACUACAACAUCGCUUCCGUUGUUUCCUCGGCAUUCUACACCAUGUGGAACCUUUUCUCGGGAUUUAUAAUUCCAAGAACUGUAAGUAUACUAGUAUCUGUUAUCAACAGUGAACGGACUUUGCUCCUUGUUUUCCCUAACAUACAUUCUAAUUGGCUACUUUAACUCUUUCUACAGAGAAUUCCAAUAUGGUGGAGAUGGUAUUACUGGCUCUGCCCUGUUUCGUGGACACUCUAUGGUCUGGUAGCUUCACAGUUCGGGGACGUUACCGAGAGGUUCGACAAUGGCAUGCUCGUGUCCGAGUUUGUCGAGGGCUACUUUGGUUACCAUCACGACUUCCUGUGGGCGGUCAGUCUGGUGGUUGCCUCGUUUGCAGUUCUCUUUGCUUUCCUCUUCGGACUCUCAAUCAAGCUAUUCAACUGGCAGAAGAGAUGAGUAACCAACUAACCAAAGAAGAUACAUCUGAGUUUGAUCCGAGGUCAUUGUUGUUUGUAUAGUAGUGAAGUGAAAAUUAAUACUAGCGGGUAGAUCUGAGGAUGUGGAACUUCAAUUGUACAGCCGAGCCGAUAACUCCUAGAAACGCAACAGCAAGUUCAGGUUUUGCUAUAAUUGAAACUGAAUGAAUUGUGUUUUUGGCAGACGAACUAUUUGGUCAAGAAGCUAUGAAUAUCUCACAGAACUGUUUAACACAAUAUCAUCAAAUCUCAACUAGCAUCUGCUUCUUACUCCUUUGGGAAUAUAAAGGGAGAAUUUGAUUUGCAGCACUAACCAAGUAAUUGUCGAAAAUCUUCUACUUGGUCUCCCUCCCUGUUCUUCACAAGCGCCCGCCCAAUCCUAGGCAU
Molecule: long non-coding RNA, 5513 nt
Filed under: Triticum aestivum (bread wheat)
Lineage: Eukaryota; Viridiplantae; Streptophyta; Magnoliopsida; Poales; Poaceae
Description: long non-coding RNA (TAES_LNC026412)
Source: RNAcentral